This is a long non-coding RNA of Saccostrea echinata, 266 nucleotides long. RefSeq lists it as uncharacterized. The record is from RefSeq and is a predicted model, not a curated record. Lineage: Eukaryota; Metazoa; Mollusca; Bivalvia; Ostreida; Ostreidae. The transcript is spliced from 3 exons.
UGGCGACUUAGAAGCGCUCGAGGUCAACUCAACAAGAGCAAAAGUGGAUCAAUUACCAAAUGAUGUAGAGAUAUGCCAAGGUAUUUGACAUAUCACCCCAACAACAACAAUGGCUGACAAAUCACUUGGGUCAUACAGUAGACGUCCAUAAAAUACAUUAUAGGCAGAUCUCGGGGGUCAUUGAGCCUGUGGACAUUUCCAAACUUGUGCUGUAAACAGUGUAUGGCUUGACUGUGAAAAAUGCUUGCAGAAAAUUGACAGAUAUC